CACACAGCGGCGAUGACCCUAGGGGACUGCCACAACCCUGUCACCCAACAGAAGCCACAGGGCAGGAUAGAACACGUGCUCCGCCACAUGGUGCAGAAUCAAAAUGAGGGAAAAUAUGGUCAUCCAUGCAGACAAAAGGCCAGAGAAGUCACACCAUCCCGCGACAUGGGCUUUCUUCACUUUACUUCUGUGGACUUGCAAUAUGCUACCCAGAAAUGUAUUGUUCUAUAAACAAAACACGGCAGGGGGGUGGGCGGCAACCACAGCUGGGAACACACAGUCUCCAAGAGGGGGAGGACAGGGACCCACAAUACACUUGGUUUACAAAAAAACAAAAACAGAGACUCAGAGAGGGUCACUUCCUGAAUGUGGCACAGCAAAAACACAAGUCCAAACCUGCAUCCACUCUUCAAGUAAGAGGGGCAAAGGAAAUCAACACUUUGAUGUACAAAGCCCCUUCUGGGAGCCCACUCUGCCUUUUCCACACCCAUCAUUCCACAGGGCAGCACGGGGAUUAAGACCACCACGUUCACAGCCGACUUCCCACUUAGUGGUCCUGCAAGCCCAUGGCUACUGUGUUAACUUCUCUGUGCCUCAGGUUCCCACGUGUCAAUGGGUGGCUCCGUGGGGCAUCACGCUAAAGGGCUUCAUCCAGGUGCUGGCUCCUGCUGAACUCUCAGGACACGGUGGUCCUGAGCCCCCGCCCCCACCCACCUGUACAGCCCUGGCUUCAGGGUAUGGGCUGCCUGGGCAUGGUCUGGACCGUAUGUCCUGUACUGACAGCUCCUUGGGCCAGCAUCUCAAGGACAGGAGUCCCCCACGACACCCAGCCCUCAGUCCUCACCUGUGGCAUUGUGAGGACACCGGAUUGUGGCCACCUCUCUGGCCAGGAUCUCCUUCCAGAGCACAGCACCAAAGCUGUCCUCAUCACAGAUCUCACAGGGCUCUGCCAGGGGGCCAGGGACAUGAGUGGGGGUGGGUACAGGAAGAGGGGUGGGGAGCUGGCAGCAGGGCCAGGAAGGCCAAGACCCUCCAGGAAAUCCACCUUCACAAGGAGGCGUCAUUUCCCAGGAGAGCUGAGCCCCAAGCCCACCCAGUCUCUCAGGAUGUCCCUCCCCAGAGUCCACCUAUGGGGUGGGAGGACCAUCACUGGGACACUGCUGGGUGCUGCAUUGCUGGUGCUCAUCUUGGGGGCUCUGGCUGGCUGCUCCCACAAAGAAGGGCCCCAAGCAGGCAUGUGCCCCCUGCUGUGUGCCACCACCACGUGACAGUGCAUCUGCACCCCCGACGUCCAGGCUGCCACUUCACAUCCACAGUGGGAUGCCACCACGCACAGAGGACAAGGGAUGGGGACAAUGAGGGUACAGGUACAGGAGCCAGAGGGAUGCAGACACAAGGACGAAGGGGCAGGAAGCCAUGAGAAGAAACAGACCCCGAGAGUGGGAGCCAAGCUCACCUCGAUACAGGAUAAAACAAAUGCCUCAAAUGCACUCAUCCCCUCACCAUCACCCCACUGCCCCCGGCAUCCCCAGGGACACUGCAAUGUCCCACAAUCAUGCCCCAAGGGGUCUAGACCCCCCCUCAUGGCUCAUGUCCACCAGGUCACCCACCCACAGGUCCCUCGGCACGGCCCUAACCUGGGCACUGUUGCAGGAAGCAGUCUCGAGUUUCCAUGCAGUGGCCCUGGGACUCGGCGCCCC
RNAcentral lists this long non-coding RNA (1700 nucleotides) under Camelus dromedarius (Arabian camel). Its description in RNAcentral is "lncRNA (ENSCDRG00005003635.1)". Lineage: Eukaryota; Metazoa; Chordata; Mammalia; Artiodactyla; Camelidae. The record is from RNAcentral.